RNAcentral lists this ribosomal RNA (2100 nucleotides) under Escherichia coli. RNAcentral's name for it is "partial 23S ribosomal RNA". It matches the Rfam family "Bacterial large subunit ribosomal RNA", at positions 612 to 2697 of the family's 2925-position model. Lineage: Bacteria; Pseudomonadati; Pseudomonadota; Gammaproteobacteria; Enterobacterales; Enterobacteriaceae. The record is from RNAcentral.
AUAAUGGGUCAGCGACUUAUAUUCUGUAGCAAGGUUAACCGAAUAGGGGAGCCGAAGGGAAACCGAGUCUUAACUGGGCGUUAAGUUGCAGGGUAUAGACCCGAAACCCGGUGAUCUAGCCAUGGGCAGGUUGAAGGUUGGGUAACACUAACUGGAGGACCGAACCGACUAAUGUUGAAAAAUUAGCGGAUGACUUGUGGCUGGGGGUGAAAGGCCAAUCAAACCGGGAGAUAGCUGGUUCUCCCCGAAAGCUAUUUAGGUAGCGCCUCGUGAAUUCAUCUCCGGGGGUAGAGCACUGUUUCGGCAAGGGGGUCAUCCCGACUUACCAACCCGAUGCAAACUGCGAAUACCGGAGAAUGUUAUCACGGGAGACACACGGCGGGUGCUAACGUCCGUCGUGAAGAGGGAAACAACCCAGACCGCCAGCUAAGGUCCCAAAGUCAUGGUUAAGUGGGAAACGAUGUGGGAAGGCCCAGACAGCCAGGAUGUUGGCUUAGAAGCAGCCAUCAUUUAAAGAAAGCGUAAUAGCUCACUGGUCGAGUCGGCCUGCGCGGAAGAUGUAACGGGGCUAAACCAUGCACCGAAGCUGCGGCAGCGACGCUGAUGCGUUGUUGGGUAGGGGAGCGUUCUGUAAGCCUGUGAAGGUGUGCUGUGAGGCAUGCUGGAGGUAUCAGAAGUGCGAAUGCUGACAUAAGUAACGAUAAAGCGGGUGAAAAGCCCGCUCGCCGGAAGACCAAGGGUUCCUGUCCAACGUUAAUCGGGGCAGGGUGAGUCGACCCCUAAGGCGAGGCCGAAAGGCGUAGUCGAUGGGAAACAGGUUAAUAUUCCUGUACUUGGUGUUACUGCGAAGGGGGGACGGAGAAGGCUAUGUUGGCCGGGCGACGGUUGUCCCGGUUUAAGCGUGUAGGCUGGUUUUCCAGGCAAAUCCGGAAAAUCAAGGCUGAGGCGUGAUGACGAGGCACUACGGUGCUGAAGCAACAAAUGCCCUGCUUCCAGGAAAAGCCUCUAAGCAUCAGGUAACAUCAAAUCGUACCCCAAACCGACACAGGUGGUCAGGUAGAGAAUACCAAGGCGCUUGAGAGAACUCGGGUGAAGGAACUAGGCAAAAUGGUGCCGUAACUUCGGGAGAAGGCACGCUGAUAUGUAGGUGAAGUCCCUCGCGGAUGGAGCUGAAAUCAGUCGAAGAUACCAGCUGGCUGCAACUGUUUAUUAAAAACACAGCACUGUGCAAACACGAAAGUGGACGUAUACGGUGUGACGCCUGCCCGGUGCCGGAAGGUUAAUUGAUGGGGUCAGCGCAAGCGAAGCUCUUGAUCGAAGCCCCGGUAAACGGCGGCCGUAACUAUAACGGUCCUAAGGUAGCGAAAUUCCUUGUCGGGUAAGUUCCGACCUGCACGAAUGGCGUAAUGAUGGCCAGGCUGUCUCCACCCGAGACUCAGUGAAAUUGAACUCGCUGUGAAGAUGCAGUGUACCCGCGGCAAGACGGAAAGACCCCGUGAACCUUUACUAUAGCUUGACACUGAACAUUGAGCCUUGAUGUGUAGGAUAGGUGGGAGGCUUUGAAGUGUGGACGCCAGUCUGCAUGGAGCCGGCCUUGAAAUACCACCCUUUAAUGUUUGAUGUUCUAACGUUGACCCGUGAUCCGGGUUGCGGACAGUGUCUGGUGGGUAGUUUGACUGGGGCGGUCUCCUCCUAAAGAGUAACGGAGGAGCACGAAGGUUGGCUAAUCCUGGUCGGACAUCAGGAGGUUAGUGCAAUGGCAUAAGCCAGCUUGACUGCGAGCGUGACGGCGCGAGCAGGUGCGAAAGCAGGUCAUAGUGAUCCGGUGGUUCUGAAUGGAAGGGCCAUCGCUCAACGGAUAAAAGGUACUCCGGGGAUAACAGGCUGAUACCGCCCAAGAGUUCAUAUCGACGGCGGUGUUUGGCACCUCGAUGUCGGCUCAUCACAUCCUGGGGCUGAAGUAGGUCCCAAGGGUAUGGCUGUUCGCCAUUUAAAGUGGUACGCGAGCUGGGUUUAGAACGUCGUGAGACAGUUCGGUCCCUAUCUGCCGUGGGCGCUGGAGAACUGAGGGGGGCUGCUCCUAGUACGAGAGGACCGGAG